CAGAGCAGUAAAAUCUUUCAGCCUUUGGGCUGUCCCCUGCCAAUCUUGGGAACUAAGCAGGGUUGGGUCUGGUCAGUAAUCGGAUGGGAGACCAUCUGAGAAUAGCAGGUGUCAUGGCUAUAC
Molecule: ribosomal RNA, 123 nt
Filed under: Salvator merianae (Argentine black and white tegu)
Lineage: Eukaryota; Metazoa; Chordata; Lepidosauria; Squamata; Teiidae
Source: RNAcentral